GUGCUAAGUAACUGUGGGACGUGUGUGGAGAAGGACAACACGCGGAGUGGAUGAUGCAACCCCUGAGAACUGUCACAACAGCUGAAUGAAAAAGGUUUUGAUGGAUGUUGUAAAUCUCUUGAAUAAAUACAUACUGUACCUAUCAUGGAACGAGAUUUUUUGGCUUUGUAUUUUAUGCUGACUUUUUUUGGUGGUGUUCUUAUUCUUAGAGACAAGUGGUGGGGAGUGUAUUUAUGUAUUAUGCUUUGCUGUCUAGUUAUAGUUUGCUCACCUGCUUUGCAAGUUUGGCUUGAAUAAAAAUUUUUUGGACUAUCUGUCUAUUUGGGGAACUUAAGAUAUAUUGUUUUUCCCUACCCGUUGAACGAAGAAGCUUAACCGUCCUCGUGACUAGCCCUACCCACUUUCCUCCACCAGGGUAUUUAAUUGCCUGAAUAUAUGUAUGUUUAUAGUGCACUUAAUACUGUUGCAAGUAUGUCUCUCCACAUCAAUCUUCAAUAUAAUUCCUUAUAAAAAAUUUGUGGUCUGGAAGUAGUGGAAGGGUAUUUUCUGGAAUCUGUGAUGUAUAGUGAGUAGGCAUUUUGGGGGGGGGGGGGGUUUAAGGUAUAGUUUGUUGUACAACGUCUCAAAGGCUUUGUUGCUCAAUUGUGUUUGUGUCUGGAGUACCUGAAAUUGUUGACCAAAUUGUGGACUGACGUUGAUAAAUUUAAUAAUCGUUUGGGGGAUAUGCUUUGUCAUAACCAUUCUGUACUGACCUGUUUGUUUUUAUUCUUGUUAUUCUCAUGCUACUUAUUUACCAGUUCUGUCUGUCGCUUGCUUAGCUUUUCACAGGAUGUCUUUACUGAGUUAUUAUUGGCUGUUAUAUCAUUGUUUGCCGGGCCGGAUGCAGCUCACAGGUUUGAGUUUUGCACCUACGAUUUAGACUGUCAAUUUCUAAUCUAUGACGAAAGGGUUCCAACAAUCUUUUUCGCAAGAAAUUUGUCUUUUCUUAUUUUGCCAAGUUUAUAAAGUGUCUGAAGGAACUUCCCAUUAGUGUUGAUAUCAUGAGUCACACAUGUCUAAUAUAAUAUAUAUAAAGAUCUAUUUAUUAAUUCUCACUACUCUAGGGAUGAUUUUAUAGCUGAAUAGAUCUGUAGAUGUAAUUUAGGAAAAAGAAGAGUCCUAUUUUAUUAAUUACUGUGGAAUGUGCUUAAACGGAUCAUGGUUUAUCAAAAAGAGAAUAAAGUCCUGUUUUUGGGUUGUUAGUUUUUUUUUAAAUUUAGGAAGCCUCUUUUAAACUGAAAAGCUAAGUUUAAGUGGACUCCGCUGUGUUUAAUCAGUUGCAAACCCGUAUCUGUGUUGUUAUGGUUAGGCUAUUAGUUUAGUCAUUGCACACAGAACGCUCGAGUUCAAUUCACGAAUAAGGAAGCUUUUUAUUGAGUAGGCCCUAUCUCUGCCUGUCUGCUGAUGUGCUGUAUCCCACUCAGCCCGGAUUUGCCCUGAUACGAAGCAUCAACAAAGCAUCUUGUCUCUUUAAUGAUCUUAAUACUAAUACAUGUAAUGUGUUGAUAGAGGCAUAUAGGCCUACAUAUACCAGUACAAGGUUAGUAGUAAGGAAUAGAUCUGUCCAGUCUGCAUGAGCAAUUUUUAUUUUACUGGAACUGAAAUUUAAUUAAAAAACACAUUGGAGUAAAUAAAUGUCAGAAUUGUGUCGGAAUUCAGAUUAUAUUCUGUUUUUAUCCAUAUUGUAAUUAAAUUAUUCCCACUUUUGGAUUUUGUUUACUUUUUAAAAAGUUCACAAAUUUAAACAAAUUAUUUGUAUCCUUUUUUUGGUCAGUUUUUUAAAGAAUUACUUUUUUAUACUAGUAUUGGUUAGCCUCCUAAUUAAUAUUAACAGAAAGCUGUACAUGAAAAAGCUUGUAUGUACUUGGCUAUUGUGUUGUAAAUGCACCAACAACAGUGAGUUUUUGAAAAGAUUUAAAGUUCUUGAAAGCUGUCUUGAAAGCCACACAGGCUUUCAGAAAUACAUUUUUUGCUUUAUAUUUUUAUUGAGAAGGAUUCUAAUGUCAUUUUGUUGUGUGUUGUUCUCAAAUCUCAAUUUUUGUUUUUGGCUAGCAUAUUUUUUCCUUUCUUUUUUUUCCAUUUUGCUAAACAGGAAAAUGUUUCAAUGUUACGAGAACCCAACACAUUUCAAUAUUGUAUUACUAUUAUAUGGCAAUAAACAAAACAACACAAGUUUGUAUUCCUAUUUUGUGUGCAUGUACAAUGGACCCAGUUAAAUCCAAAAACAGAGCUAAACCAAAGGAAAACAGGGUCUCCAAUUUUUUAUUCGUCUUUGUAAGAAAACUAUCUAUUUACCAAAAUACUCCUUUUGCUAAACUGAAAAGGAUUUCAAGGGUUCUGUAGUCAACAUCUAUUCUUUAAUACUAAGAAAGAACUGUCGGUUAUUAUGCAGAUCAUCAAGUCUUGCAUACUUCAAGAAAGUGAAACAAAACAGAGACAUGAGAACAUGUGCCGAUUGAUUACAUGUCAGAGAGAGGCAUUGCCAGUGUGCUGUUUGCCUACCUUUAUGACGCUUAUCAAUAGGCCUGCGCACUAUGUAUAGGCCUAGUGAUGCACAGGAAUAGCGAAUGUCGUCUUUAGCAUGACCUUCAGUUGAUCAUGGCCUAUUAUCUCUGGGAAGCUGGUUCACAUUGGCCUUACACAUGACUACACUUGGUGUGUUUGAUGAAGUCACUAGCAUUUCAUUAGGCUUUCUCACUUGUUCUUGGUCAACAAAGAACAUGGAAGAAGAAAAAGGACAGAGGUCACAAAAAGAGAAUUGUGAACUAGCAGGGUCACAUGACGGCUGUCGUUCUUUCCCUGUACUUCUGUUUUAAUUAUAUAUUUCAGCAAUGUAUGGCUGUAGCCUUCUUGAUAAACUUUAAUAUAAUAUUGAUUGAUGAAUAAAAGGGAACAAGCCAAGGUUUCCAGACCCUCUG
Molecule: long non-coding RNA, 2957 nt
Organism: Aplysia californica (California sea hare)
Lineage: Eukaryota; Metazoa; Mollusca; Gastropoda; Aplysiida; Aplysiidae
Exons: 2
Source: RefSeq, a predicted model, not a curated record